Molecule: long non-coding RNA, 1051 nt
Filed under: Vulpes vulpes (red fox)
Lineage: Eukaryota; Metazoa; Chordata; Mammalia; Carnivora; Canidae
Description: lncRNA (ENSVVUG00000026963.1)
Source: RNAcentral
UGCUUAACCAACUGAGCUACCCAGAUACCCUCAGUCUUUUGGAUUUUAUUUUUUUUUAAUAUUUUAUUAAUUUAUUCAUGACAGACACAGAGUAAGAGGCAGUGGAAGAAGGAGACUUCAUGCAGGGAGCCCGAUGCGGGACUCUAUCUGGGGACUGCAGGAUCACGCCCUGGUCCGAAGGCAGGCGCUCAACCGCUGAGCCACCAAGGCGUCCCUGGAUUUUCUAUGUAGCAGCAGUAAAACCAUUUAAGUAUUCAAUGGGAAAAGAUGUGGCCCUCGGGAGUCAUCUUAUUAGCAUGCAAGAACAAGGGGAGGAAAGUGAUGUUAUAAAUGAAUAGAUGACUUACUCAAGAUCACACACCUGGGAAAUGGAAGAUAUACAAUUCAAAUUGAUUUUCAGUCCUGUGGGCUUCGUAAGAUACAUGCCAUAUUCUAUCCGAAGACAUAGAACAAAUAUAAGUGUAUAGAAAUUCUCAAGUCUUUUGUACUAUAUCUGCCAUUUGGGUUUACAUAAAACACUGCCUUGUUGAAUUAUUAUAGCUAGCAAGUAAAAGUAUAGUAUAUGCCUUCAUUUCACAUAUGCUUUUGAUAUAUCUUGCUGAAUUUCUAUAGAUGUCAUUGAAGAUUUUUCCCAUUUUGCACCUUCAUUUAGUUUAUUAAUAUUCAAUAUUAUAUAUAUGUGUGUGUGUAUACAUUUUAUAUUAAAUUUAAAAAUAUUUGACAGAUCAACUUUUAAACUAGUCCUUUUUUGACAAAUUUUUGGAGUGGCACAUGAUAUUUUUUCUCCAAGUCAUUAAUCUGUUUUAAACAUGCAUCUAUGUUUUCUAAAGAUUAACAAUUAAAAAUGACCUUUUAAAUUCUUAACUGUGGUAAAAAUAUAACAAAUAUUUUUAACAUAUAACAAGAAUGAAAGAAAACCUAACUCUGGGAAACGAGCUAGGGGUGGUNGUACUGAGGGGGGCACUUGACGGGAUGAGCGCUGGGUGUUAUUCUGCAUGUUGGUAAAUUGAACACCAAUAAAAAAUAAAUUUAUUUUAAAAAAAUAAAACCC